This 429-nucleotide ribosomal RNA is filed under the name Actinomycetes bacterium. RNAcentral's name for it is "Actinobacteria bacterium partial 16S ribosomal RNA". It matches the Rfam family "Bacterial small subunit ribosomal RNA", at positions 355 to 776 of the family's 1533-position model. The record is from RNAcentral. Lineage: Bacteria; Bacillati; Actinomycetota; Actinomycetes.
UAGGGAAUCUUCCGCAAUGGGCGAAAGCCUGACGGAGCAACGCCGCGUGAGUGAUGAAGGUCUUCGGAUCGUAAAACUCUGUUAUUAGGGAAGAACAAAUGUGUAAGUAACUAUGCACGUCUUGACGGUACCUAAUCAGAAAGCCACGGCUAACUACGUGCCAGCAGCCGCGGUAAUACGUAGGUGGCAAGCGUUAUCCGGAAUUAUUGGGCGUAAAGCGCGCGUAGGCGGUUUUUUAAGUCUGAUGUGAAAGCCCACGGCUCAACCGUGGAGGGUCAUUGGAAACUGGAAAACUUGAGUGCAGAAGAGGAAAGUGGAAUUCCAUGUGUUGCGGUGAAAUGCGCAGAGAUAUGGAGGAACACCAGUGGCGAAGGCGACUUUCUGGUCUGUAACUGACGCUGAUGUGCGAAAGCGUGGGGAUCAAACAGG